GACGAACGCUGGCGGCGUGCUUAACACAUGCAAGUCGAACGGAAAGGCCCUGCUUUUGUGGGGUGCUCGAGUGGCGAACGGGUGAGUAACACGUGAGUAACCUGCCCUUGACUUUGGGAUAACUUCAGGAAACUGGGGCUAAUACCGGAUAGGAGCUCCUGCUGCAUGGUGGGGGUUGGAAAGUUUCGGCGGUUGGGGAUGGACUCGCGGCUUAUCAGCUUGUUGGUGGGGUAGUGGCUUACCAAGGCUUUGACGGGUAGCCGGCCUGAGAGGGUGACCGGCCACAUUGGGACUGAGAUACGGCCCAGACCCCUACGGGAGGCGGCAGUGGGGAAUAUUGCACAAUGGGCGGAAGCCUGAUGCAGCAACGCCGCGUGCGGGAUGACGGCCUUCGGGUUGUAAACCGCUUUCGCCUGUGACGAAGCGUGAGUGACGGUAAUGGGUAAAGAAGCACCGGCUAACUACGUGCCAGCAGCCGCGGUGAUACGUAGGGUGCGAGCGUUGUCCGGAUUUAUUGGGCGUAAAGGGCUCGUAGGUGGUUGAUCGCGUCGGAAGUGUAAUCUUGGGGCUUAACCCUGAGCGUGCUUUCGAUACGGGUUGACUUGAGGAAGGUAGGGGAGAAUGGAAUUCCUGGUGGAGCGGUGGAAUGCGCAGAUAUCAGGAGGAACACCAGUGGCGAAGGCGGUUCUCUGGGCCUUUCCUGACGCUGAGGAGCGAAAGCGUGGGGAGCGAACAGGCUUAGAUACCCUGGUAGUCCACGCUGUAAACGGUGGGUACUAGGUGUGGGGUCCAUUCCACGGGUUCCGUGCCGUAGCUAACGCUUUAAGUACCCCGCCUGGGGAGUACGGCCGCAAGGCUAAAACUCAAAGGAAUUGACGGGGCCCCGCACAAGCGGCGGAGCAUGCGGAUUAAUUCGAUGCAACGCGUAGAACCUUACCUGGGUUUGACAUGGAUCGGGAGUGCUCAGAGAUGGGUGUGCCUCUUUUGGGGUCGGUUCACAGGUGGUGCAUGGCUGUCGUCAGCUCGUGUCGUGAGAUGUUGGGUUAAGUCCCGCAACGAGCGCAACCCUUGUUCACUGUUGCCAGCACGUUAUGGUGGGGACUCAGUGGAGACCGCCGGGGUCAACUCGGAGGAAGGUGGGGAUGACGUCAAAUCAUCAUGCCCCUUAUGAUUUGGGCUACACACGUGCUACAAUGGACAAUACAGAGGGCAGCGAAACCGCGAGGUCAAGCAAAUCCCAUAAAGUUGUUCUCAGUUCGGAUUGUAGUCUGCAACUCGACUACAUGAAGCUGGAAUCGCUAGUAAUCGUAGAUCAGCAUGCUACGGUGAAUACGUUCCCGGGUCU
RNAcentral lists this ribosomal RNA (1345 nucleotides) under uncultured bacterium. RNAcentral describes it as "bacterial SSU rRNA". It matches the Rfam family "Bacterial small subunit ribosomal RNA", at positions 28 to 1381 of the family's 1533-position model. The record is from RNAcentral.